RNAcentral lists this ribosomal RNA (1453 nucleotides) under uncultured Bordetella sp. RNAcentral describes it as "partial 16S-23S ribosomal RNA intergenic spacer". It matches the Rfam family "Bacterial small subunit ribosomal RNA". Lineage: Bacteria; Pseudomonadati; Pseudomonadota; Betaproteobacteria; Burkholderiales; Alcaligenaceae. The record is from RNAcentral.
GUUCAAUUCUGGCUCAGGUCGAAGACGCUGGCGGGAUGCUUUACACACAUGCAAGUCGAACGGCAGCACGGACUUCGGUCUGGUGGCGAGUGGCGAACGGGUGAGUAAUGUAUCGGAACGUGCCUAGUAGCGGGGAUAUUAUAAGCGUAGCCUAAUACCGCAUACGCCCUUCGGGGGAAAGCGGGGGACCUUCGGGCCUCGCACUAUUAGAGCGGCCGAUAUCGGAUUAGCUAGUUGGUGGGGUAACGGCUCACCAAGGCGACGAUCCGUAGCUGGUUUGAAGGACGACCAGCCACACUGGGACUGAGACACGGCCCAGACUCCUACGGGAGGGCAGCAGUGGGGAAUUUUGGACAAUGGGGAAACCUGAUCCAGCCAUCCCGCGUGUGCGAUGAAGGCCUUCGGGUUGUAACACAGCGGAAAGAAACGGCACGGGAUAAUACCCCGUGCAACUGACAGUACCUGCAGAAUAAGCACAGUAACUACGUGUAGCCGCGGUAAUACGUAAGGGUGCAAGCGUUAAUCGGAAUUACUGGGCGUAAAGCGUGCGCAGGCGGUUCGGAAGAAGAUGUGAAAUCCCAGAGCUUAACUUUGGAACUGCAUUUUUAACUACCGAGCUAGAGAGUGUGUCAGAGGAGGUGGAAUUCCGCGAUAGCAGUGAAAUGCGUAGAUAUGCGGAGGAACACGAUGGCGAAGAAAGGCAGCCUCCUGGGAUAACACUGACGCUCAUGCACAACGUGGGGAAUACCAAGCAGUUAGAUACCCUAAAGUGAGUCGCCUAAACGAUGUCAACUAGCUGUUGGGGCCUUCGGGCCUUGGUGGCACCAACUAACGCGUGAAGUUGACCGCCUGAGAUACUGGUGCCAGGUCAAACUCAAAGGAAUUGACGGGGACCCGCACAAGCGGUGGAUGAUGUGGAUUAAUUCGAUGCAACGCGAAAAACCUUACCCACCCUUAGCAUGUCUGGAAUCCCGGGAAUUUGGGAGUGCUCGCAAGAGAACCGGAACACAAGGUGCUGCAUGGCUGUCGUCAGCUCGUGUCGUGAGAUGUUGGGUUAAGUCCCGCAACGAGCGCAACCCUUGUCAUUAGUUGCUACGAAAGGCACUCAAGUAGGGCUGCCAUUGACAAACCGGAGGAAGGUGGGGAUGACGUCAAGUCCUCAUGGCCCUUAUGGGUAGGGCUUCACGUGUAAUGGUCGGGACAAGAGGUGUCGCCAGCGCCCGCGAGGGGGAGCCAAUCCAAGCUCGAUCAUAGUCGGAUCGCAGUCUGCAACUGUGCGUGAAGUCGGAAAUCGCUAGUAAUCGCGGAUCAGCAUGUCGCGGUGAAUACGUUCCCGGUCUUGCACAACCGUCACCAUGGGAGUGGGUUUACCAGAAGUAGUUAGCCUAACCGUAAGGGGAGGGCGAUUACCACGGUAGGAUUCAUGACUGGGGGUGAAGUCGUAACAAGGUAG